GUGCUUGCUUCAGCAGCACAAGUACUAAAAUUGGAACAACACAGAGAAGAUUAGCAUGGCCCCUGUGCAAGGAUGACAUGCAAAUUUGUGGAGUGUUCCAUAUUUUU
This 107-nucleotide small nuclear RNA is filed under the name Notamacropus eugenii (tammar wallaby). Lineage: Eukaryota; Metazoa; Chordata; Mammalia; Diprotodontia; Macropodidae. The record is from RNAcentral.